This 196-nucleotide ribosomal RNA is filed under the name uncultured bacterium. RNAcentral describes it as "partial 16S ribosomal RNA". It matches the Rfam family "Bacterial small subunit ribosomal RNA", at positions 338 to 525 of the family's 1533-position model. The record is from RNAcentral.
UCUACGGGAGGCAGCAGUGGGGAAUCUUCCGCAAUGGACGAAAGCCUGACGGAGCAACGCCGCGUGAGUGAUGACGGCCUUCGGGUUGUAAAGCUCUGUGAUCGGGGACGAAUGGCUGGUAUGCUAAUACCAUAUCAGAGUGACGGUACCCGAAUAGCAAGCCACGGCUAACUACGUGCCAGCAGCCGCGGUAAUA